Molecule: ribosomal RNA, 194 nt
Filed under: uncultured bacterium
Lineage: Bacteria
Description: partial 16S ribosomal RNA
Rfam family: Bacterial small subunit ribosomal RNA
Source: RNAcentral
CCUACGGGAGGCAGCAGCGGGGAAUAUUGGACAAUGGGCGAAAGCCUGAUCCAGCCAUGCCGCGUGUGUGAAGAAGGUCUUCGGAUUGUAAAGCACUUUAAGUUGGGAGGAAGGGCAGUAAGUUAAUACCUUGCUGUUUUGACGUUACCGACAGAAUAAGCACCGGCUAACUCUGUGCCAGCAGCCGCGGUAAU